RNAcentral lists this long non-coding RNA (204 nucleotides) under Elaeis guineensis (African oil palm). RNAcentral's name for it is "long non-coding RNA (EGUI_LNC067291)". Lineage: Eukaryota; Viridiplantae; Streptophyta; Magnoliopsida; Arecales; Arecaceae. The record is from RNAcentral.
GCUUCAUGAGUUCUAGCCCCUAGAACUUGACUAGCCUCGUACCGGUCAAGUUUCUUCAAGAACUUGACCUCACCCUCUUAGAACCUCCUCUGGACUUCUGAUUCUCCUUUUAUAGGACCCUUACAAUCCUUGUUAGAACCAGAUAAGGCUUUAUCUUAAAUCCCAAAGCCUUGUCCUAAAACUAAGAUAGGUUGUAAGAAAGAA